GGGGAAUAUUGGACAAUGGGGGAAACCCUAAUCCAGCGACGCCGCGUGAGUGAAGAAGUAUUUCGGUAUGUAAAGCUCUAUCAGCAGGGAAGAAAAUGACGGUACCUGACUAAGAAGCCCCGGCUAACUACGUGCCAGCAGCCGCGGUAAUACGUAGGGGGCAAGCGUUAUCCGGAUUUACUGGGUGUAAAGGGAGCGUAGACGGCUUUGCAAGUCUGGAGUGAAAGCCCGGGGCUCAACCCCGGGACUGCUUUGGAAACUGUGGAGCUAGAGUGCAGGAGAGGUAAGUGGAAUUCCUAGUGUAGCGGUGAAAUGCGUAGAUAUUAGGAGGAACACCAGUGGCGAAGGCGGCUUACUGGACUGUAACUGACGUUGAGGCUCGAAAGCGUGGGGAGCAAAC
Molecule: ribosomal RNA, 400 nt
Filed under: uncultured bacterium
Lineage: Bacteria
Description: bacterial SSU rRNA
Rfam family: Bacterial small subunit ribosomal RNA
Source: RNAcentral